RNAcentral lists this ribosomal RNA (425 nucleotides) under uncultured bacterium. RNAcentral describes it as "partial 16S ribosomal RNA". It matches the Rfam family "Bacterial small subunit ribosomal RNA", at positions 354 to 796 of the family's 1533-position model. The record is from RNAcentral.
GUGGGGAAUCUUAGACAAUGGGCGCAAGCCUGAUCUAGCCAUGCCGCGUGAGCGAUGAAGGCCUUAGGGUUGUAAAGCUCUUUCGUGGGGGAAGAUAAUGACUGUACCCCAAGAAGAAGCCCCGGCUAACUCCGUGCCAGCAGCCGCGGUAAUACGGAGGGGGCUAGCGUUGUUCGGAAUUACUGGGCGUAAAGCGCACGUAGGCGGACUGGAAAGUCAGGGGUGAAAUCCCGGGGCUCAACCCCGGAACUGCCUUUGAAACUCCCAGUCUUGAGUUCGAGAGAGGUGAGUGGAAUUCCGAGUGUAGAGGUGAAAUUCGUAGAUAUUCGGAGGAACACCAGUGGCGAAGGCGGCUCACUGGCUCGGUACUGACGCUGAGGUGCGAAAGCGUGGGGAGCAAACAGGAUUAGAUACCCUUGUAGUCC